AACGAACGCUGGCGGCAUGCCUAACACAUGCAAGUCGAACGAGACCUUCGGGUCUAGUGGCGCACGGGUGCGUAACGCGUGGGAACCUGCCCUUAGGUUCGGAAUAACUCCCCGAAAGGGGUGCUAAUACCGGAUAAUGUCUUCGGACCAAAGAUUUAUCGCCUUUGGAUGGGCCCGCGUUGGAUUAGCUAGUUGGUAGGGUAAAAGCCUACCAAGGCGACGAUCCAUAGCCGGUCUGAGAGGAUGAUCAGCCACACUGGGACUGAGACACGGCCCAGACUCCUACGGGAGGCAGCAGUGGGGAAUAUUGGACAAUGGGCGAAAGCCUGAUCCAGCAAUGCCGCGUGAGUGAUGAAGGCCUUAGGGUUGUAAAGCUCUUUUACCCGGGAUGAUAAUGACAGUACCGGGAGAAUAAGCGCCGGCUAACUCCGUG
RNAcentral lists this ribosomal RNA (433 nucleotides) under uncultured bacterium. RNAcentral's name for it is "partial 16S ribosomal RNA". It matches the Rfam family "Bacterial small subunit ribosomal RNA", at positions 29 to 507 of the family's 1533-position model. The record is from RNAcentral.